This 279-nucleotide ribosomal RNA is filed under the name uncultured bacterium. RNAcentral describes it as "partial 16S ribosomal RNA". It matches the Rfam family "Bacterial small subunit ribosomal RNA", at positions 506 to 784 of the family's 1533-position model. The record is from RNAcentral.
UGCCAGCCGCCGCGGUAAUACGGAGGGGGUUAGCGUUGUUCGGAAUUACUGGGCGUAAAGCGCGCGUAGGCGGAUUGUUAAGUCGGGGGUGAAAUCCCGGGGCUCAACCCCGGAACUGCCUCCGAUACUGGCAAUCUAGAGGUCGAGAGAGGCGAGUGGAAUACCGAGUGUAGAGGUGAAAUUCGUAGAUAUUCGGUGGAACACCAGUGGCGAAGGCGGCUCCCUGGCCAAAGACUGACGCUCAUGUGCGAAAGUGUGGGUAGCGAACAGGAUUAGAUA